UACGAAGGGGCUAGCGUUGCUCGGAAUCACUGGGCUUAAAGGGCGCGUAGGCGGGCUGUCAAGUCUGGGGUGAAAUCCCGCGGCUCAACCGUGGAACUGCCUCAGAUACUGACGGUCUCGAGGGAGGUAGGGGCGAGCGGAACUGAUGGUGGAGCGGUGAAAUGCGUUGAUAUCAUCAGGAACUCCGGUGGCGAAGGCGGCUCGCUGGACCUCUUCUGACGCUGAGGCGCGAAAGCCAGGGGAGCAAACGGG
This 252-nucleotide ribosomal RNA is filed under the name uncultured bacterium. RNAcentral's name for it is "partial 16S ribosomal RNA". It matches the Rfam family "Bacterial small subunit ribosomal RNA", at positions 524 to 776 of the family's 1533-position model. The record is from RNAcentral.